AGCACAAGAGAGCUUGCUCUCUGGGUGACGAGCGGCGGACGGGUGAGUAAUGUCUGGGAAACUGCCUGAUGGAGGGGGAUAACUACUGGAAACGGUAGCUAAUACCGCAUGACGUCUUCGGACCAAAGUGGGGGACCUUCGGGCCUCACGCCAUCAGAUGUGCCCAGAUGGGAUUAGCUAGUAGGUGGGGUAAUGGCUCACCUAGGCGACGAUCUCUAGCUGGUCUGAGAGGAUGACCAGCCACACUGGAACUGAGACACGGUCCAGACUCCUACGGGAGGCAGCAGUGGGGAAUAUUGCACAAUGGGCGCAAGCCUGAUGCAGCCAUGCCGCGUGUAUGAAGAAGGCCUUCGGGUUGUAAAGUACUUUCAGCGAGGAGGAAGGCAUUAAGGUUAAUAACCUUGGUGAUUGACGUUACUCGCAGAAGAAGCACCGGCUAACUCCGUGCCAGCAGCCGCGGUAAUACGGAGGGUGCAAGCGUUAAUCGGAAUUACUGGGCGUAAAGCGCACGCAGGCGGUUUGUUAAGUCAGAUGUGAAAUCCCCGAGCUU
This 550-nucleotide ribosomal RNA is filed under the name Hafnia sp. VK27. Its description in RNAcentral is "bacterial SSU rRNA". It matches the Rfam family "Bacterial small subunit ribosomal RNA", at positions 65 to 610 of the family's 1533-position model. The record is from RNAcentral. Lineage: Bacteria; Pseudomonadati; Pseudomonadota; Gammaproteobacteria; Enterobacterales; Hafniaceae.